Molecule: long non-coding RNA, 1595 nt
Organism: Rosa chinensis
Lineage: Eukaryota; Viridiplantae; Streptophyta; Magnoliopsida; Rosales; Rosaceae
Exons: 4
Source: RefSeq, a predicted model, not a curated record
AGAGCAACCCAGAUCUGCAAUUUUAAAGGAGUUUGAAGAUGACAAGAUGUCUAUGUUGAGUGUUUCUACAAUUGCCCUUUUUACAAGUUCUUUGGCUGCAUCCACAACUCCUCUCUGCAAAAGCCAAGAUUGAGUGGAAAUGCAGUGAACUAUCUGACUCAAUAUAAGAAGAAUUGUGAGGGUUCAUAACUUCAUAUAAUUAGACAGAAUUAAAGGAAAAGAGUAUUUACUAUCUUGAUUUUAUUCCAUGCUAUAGCAUUCUUACAUCCUAGAAGGCUAGAAGUGACUGAAAAGCUUUGGAAAAAGAAGAAAUUAACCUGCACAAUGGAGUUCUUGGCAUAGCUGUUGGGGCCAUCUCCACCUUCCAUUGGAUGUGCUUCAAAUACAUUACUGGUAUCAUCUGCUGCCAUCUCUCUCUCUCUCUCUCUGUGUUACAAUUGGUGCUAAUCUAUGUAUGGCGAUUUGUGUUGUGGGUACAUUGUUAUUAUAUCUGCUACAGCUACUUGAUGCAAUGCAAGAAAAACUGAUCUACUCUUAUUUUUUAUGGCAUUUUGUAUUGUGAAAAACCAUUUAGUCUUCUGCUACAGCUACUUGAUGCCAUAAUCCAGUAAUCCAAAGACAAAAUGUUAAAUAAAAAAAGAGGAAGUCAAUAGAGAACGUCCAUGGUGAUGAUGCUAAUUGUUUGUCUUUUCUGUUCAUACUUAUUCUUUCCAUUCCAGCUUUCAUGGUAGAGACAAACACUGAAGCAUCAAUUACCUUUCAUAAUUGCUUUGUGUAUUGAUAGAUGAAAGUAAUCAGACUUUUAAUUUACUGAUGAUACUUGGUCAGAAAAAAUAAAAACUCAUAUACCAGCUUAAGCAGCAUAACAUAACUUCAGUGAUGCUUAGUAGAGUUGUAUUAGAGCUCAAAGCAUAAAAGAACAUACAGUAUAAGAAAGCCCCCUUAAAGUACAGGCAAUCGUGUUUUGAGUCGAAGGUUCUCAAACGUGAUCUGAAUUUGUGUACCAUUCUCUCACACAUUAUUAUAAGUUCACACUGCAGCAAUUUAACAUGUCACUUAGGCAUAUUACAAAUAAAACAUAAUCAUCAAGUUCAAGUUCACAAACCACAAGUACUGAAACAGCAUGUCCAAGUCAAUCCACCUUGCGUCUAAGCACAACCAGAAAGUUGACUGAUUUCUCUGGAUCAAGUCUGGAGUCAUGCUCUUCACAUUUUUUGCGAAACAAAUUAAAGAGCUCGUCUAAGAUUUCUUCUCCAAAUUGCUGCUUGAGGAGGUCCCCCUCCAUGCCAGCUCUCACGUGAGAGGCAAGUAGCUGUGCCUUUAAGACAGGGUCAUGUACCAAGGGAAGAGCUUUACCUUUGUGACCAAGUCCUGGAUGGAAGAUCCUAAAAGUUGGAAGAUCACAUUUGGAGGAGCAUCAGAAUGUGGGGUGCCAUCGAGGCGGCCUGGAAAGGACUGCUACUAUCCAUCACUGCUUUCGGAACUCUUGAAAGCCAUGGAAUGGCAUAAGAAGAGUGAGCAAUGUGAAUGGAAGCAUUAGGAAAUAACCGGCCAUAGAAAGAACCUGACACACCAGCUGCAUAGUAUCGCUUGUU